RNAcentral lists this ribosomal RNA (253 nucleotides) under uncultured bacterium. RNAcentral's name for it is "partial 16S ribosomal RNA". It matches the Rfam family "Bacterial small subunit ribosomal RNA", at positions 524 to 776 of the family's 1533-position model. The record is from RNAcentral.
UACGUAGGGGGCAAGCGUUGUCCGGAAUUACUGGGCGUAAAGAGCUCGUAGGUGGUUUGUCGCGUUGUCCGUGAAAACUCACAGCUCAACUGUGGGCGUGCGGGCGAUACGGGCAGACUGGAGUACUGCAGGGGAGACUGGAAUUCCUGGUGUAGCGGUGGAAUGCGCAGAUAUCAGGAGGAACACCGGUGACGAAGGCGGGUCUCUGGGCAGUAACUGACGCUGAGGAGCGAAAGCGUGGGGAGCGAACAGG